RNAcentral lists this ribosomal RNA (383 nucleotides) under uncultured eukaryote. RNAcentral's name for it is "partial 18S ribosomal RNA". It matches the Rfam family "Eukaryotic small subunit ribosomal RNA", at positions 592 to 976 of the family's 1831-position model. The record is from RNAcentral.
CAAUAGCGUAUAUUAAAGUUGUUGCAGUUAAAAAGCUCGUAGUUGGAUUUCUGGUGGGAGCGAUCGGUCUGGCGCUUAGCGCGAGUACUUGCAUCGUCUCCGGCCAUCCUUGGGGAGAGUCUGUCUGGCAUUAGGUUGUCGGGCAGAGGAUCCUCAUCGUUUACUGUGAAAAAAUUAGAGUGUUCAAAGCAGGCUUAUGCCGUUGAAUAUAUCAGCAUGGAAUAAUAAGAUAGGACUUUGGUACUAUUUUGUUGGUUUGCGCACCAAAGUAAUGAUUAAUAGGGACAGUUGGGGGUAUUCGUAUUCCGUUGUCAGAGGUGAAAUUCUUGGAUUUACGGAAGACGAACUACUGCGAAAGCAUUUACCAAGGAUGUUUNCAUUAA